CAUUUGGUGUCUGUUCGUUGGAAACGGACUUAAAAGGGAAUCAGGUGUGAAUCCUGAACAGUCCCGCUGCUGUAAACUCGGAAUGAAUGGCUAAACAUCAAGAAAUGCCACUGUCGAUAAUGGAUGGGAAGGUGGUUUGGUCAGGGAGUGAGUCAGAAGACCUGCCAGAUGACAAU
RNAcentral lists this non-coding RNA (176 nucleotides) under uncultured Odoribacter sp. Lineage: Bacteria; Pseudomonadati; Bacteroidota; Bacteroidia; Bacteroidales; Odoribacteraceae. The record is from RNAcentral.